GACGAGUAUCGGCCAGCAGGCGUGGGAACGUGUGGGGGGGUAGGGGUCAACGGAAUGGAUGUGCGGAACGCGUGCGCAUGGGGGUGUGGAAGCGGGAGGUGAAAUCCGCGGGCUUAACCGUGGAAGGGCAUGUGGGACGGCAAGGCUGGAGUGCGGCAGAGGAGACGGGGAUUCCUGGGGUAGCAGUGAAAUGCGGAGAGAUCAGGAGGAAUACCGAUGGCGUAGGCAGGUCUCUGGGCUGACACUGACGCUCAUGCACGAAAGCGUGGGGAGCAAACAGGAUUAGAUACCCGAGUAGUC
This 300-nucleotide ribosomal RNA is filed under the name uncultured archaeon. RNAcentral describes it as "bacterial SSU rRNA". The stretch from base 52 to 300 matches the Rfam family "Bacterial small subunit ribosomal RNA", at positions 547 to 795 of the family's 1533-position model. The record is from RNAcentral.